Myotis myotis is the source of this 2400-nucleotide long non-coding RNA. RefSeq lists it as uncharacterized. The record is from RefSeq and is a predicted model, not a curated record. NCBI's taxonomy places the organism in Eukaryota, Metazoa, Chordata, Mammalia, Chiroptera, Vespertilionidae. The transcript is spliced from 2 exons.
GGGGCAGCUCCUGCGUUGAGCAUCUGCCCCCUUGUGGUCAGUGCACAUCAUAGUGACCAGUCAUUCUGCUGUUUGGUCAAUUUGCAUAUUAGAGUUUAUAAUAUAGGAUGAUAGUAAUGGUAGUUUGAAGAAUAUUUAUUGUCUGUAUAUUGUAUUAAGUGCUCCUUAUGCCUUAUUAAUCUUUAUAUUACCUCUUAUGAGAUAGGUGACUGCAGUGUAGAAAAUAUUUAUUUUUUGGUUAAUAGGGCACUAUUUCUUUUUAUUUAGGAAAAGCAUUUUAUUUUGCUAGCAUGCAUUAUAAGGAACAUUUGCCUGCAUAUCUUCCUGAAGGAGAGAAGCUACUGUACUUAAGGUCUUACAGGGAUUUUGUUUGCUAGUUGAAUAUACAGGGUUUAUUAGAAGCUUUAUUUUGAUUUCUUAUAAGUUAGGUAUUACUCAGGGGAUGAUACUGGUUUAAUUUACUCUGACUUUAUCCCACCCCAAUUAUAUGUGCAGUUUUCUUUUUAUAUUAAAUUCUAAUGUAUGUAUGGUAAAAUGUGGAAACUUUAAAGUACAGAGCUGAAUGACUUAAAAAUAUGUGUUUAUAUAUAUAACCACUAUCCAGAUCAAGAUGUAGAAUAUUUUUAUUGUCCCAGAAAGUUCCUCUUGCUCUUCUCUUUCAAAUCCAAUAUCCUUUCUCCCUGAGGUAAGCAUCAUUCUGCAUUCUAUCAGCAUAGCUUAGUUUUCCUUGAACUUUGUGUAUAUAAAACUAUACAUUCUGUAUUCUCUUGUUUCUAUUUUUCAUACAACAUAAUGCUUUUUGAGAUUUCCUCCAUGUUGUAUCAGUAGUUCAUUAUUUUUUAAUGUUGAGUAAUAUUCUGUUAUAUGAAAAUACUACAAAUUUUUUAUGCACUGUCUAUAAUUUUGUUUAUUGGAUUCUCCGAGUGCCAACAUUCUACAGCUGCUUUCCUUCCUCUAGUUUUCCCGUUCAUUUUCCACAUCACCUGCACAAUGAAAUGGUAAAAACUGUUGGAGUGGAGGAAGAAAUUGAAUUAUAGCCUGGAAUUGUGAUAACAUUUUCGUUUCCUAUAGCUUAGGAAACUUGAUGUUUGCUGAAAAGUAUUUUUUAAAAGUUUGUUUUAUCAAUGUAAAUCUGUAAUAUACAUAAAUAAUAUAUAUUUUUUACUUUUUUAUUGAAUUUUAUUGGUGUGACAUUGGUUAAUAAAAUUACAUGGGUUUUAGGUUUAUAGUUCUAUAAUACAUUAUCUGUAUAUUGUAUUGUGUUUACCACCCCAAGUCAAGUCUUCUUCCAUCACCAUUUAUCCCCCUCUAUAUUUUCUUAAGAAAUGAAACUUUAUAAAACUUUGAAGCAUUUCGCACUAGUUUUCUUCCAUAUUUGAAAUUUGGCUAGUUGGGUUGGAUAUCGUAGUCAGCUGGGGAGUUUUUAUGCCUGAAGCUUGAUUGCCUUCUAGCAAGUCCAAAGCGAAGAGAGGUUCUUUCCCACUGGGAUCAAUUUGUUGCUUUUCCUCUUUGCAGCUUCUGCCAUAAAGGUUGAACACAGAGUUGGAUGGGAUGUUGACCCCAUCUCAUGCUGUUCCUCUAUCUCUUUACAAAGGUUUUCUUAGACACAGAUUCUAAUUGAAUGUAGGACCCCAGGUAUUUCUUUUAUUUCAUCAUGGAUGUUAAGUGUGUUUUUUGAUAAAUUUUGAGUAUUCAGAGAAAUUUAAUCUUGUGAUUGCUUGAUUUAGUGUCUUUAUUAGAUUUUAGACUAGUGCAUUCCCCUCCCAGAGGCUGAUAGGUAUAUUUGAAUUCAGACUCUUCCUCUUCAUUUUGUGCUUGAAUAUUUUAGUCAACUGCGGCUAAGCUUUUCCAUUUUGCAGAAUUCCUAACUCCAAGGAUUUGAAGUUCUUCCCAAAAGUGUGUCUUUUUUAGCUUAAUUUCCUUAAUUUCCAAAUUACCCUCUCUGUGUUAGUAGCACGGUAGAUGUGCUUCCUGUUGUUGUAAUGUGAAAAAAGACACCUUUUAAUUAAUAUGAUUAUUUGUUCUUCACUCUUGAUGACAUUGUACAGUGUACAUUUGACUGUUUUCAAAUAUAUUGCCAAGCAACAUUCAGUAUUUUCAAAAUUGUAUUUUAAAAUAAAAGUCAUAUUCCUUAUAUGUGUGAGCAAAUAGUAUAGAAAUAUUUAAAAAUAAGAAGUAAAACUCUCUUCUCUCCCAGCACUGUGCUCCCCAUAAAUUAUCAAAAAUAGCUUGUAUAUAUUGUGCAUCUUUCUCUUUCCAUUUAGCAAUAUAUCUUGGUCUUGGACAUUUUUUCAUAUAUACAUUACAUAUAACUGUUUAGAUACUUGGGUAAAUCUCAGGGUUUUGUUUUGUUUUUUUUUGCUUAUAUAAGCAAUACUGCAAUAAAUAUUCUUGACUCUA